AUACGGAGGGGGUUAGCGUUGUUCGGAAUUACUGGGCGUAAAGCGCACGUAGGCGGACUGGAAAGUUGGGGGUGAAAUCCCGGGGCUCAACCCCGGAACUGCCUCCAAAACUUCCAAUCUAGAGAUCGAGAGAGGUGAGUGGAAUUCCAAGUGUAGAGGUGAAAUUCGUAGAUAUUUGGAGGAACACCAGUGGCGAAGGUGGCUCACUGGCUCGAUACUGACGCUGAGGUGCGAAAGCGUGGGGAGCAAACAGGAUUAGAUACCCCAGUAGUCC
RNAcentral lists this ribosomal RNA (274 nucleotides) under uncultured bacterium. RNAcentral's name for it is "partial 16S ribosomal RNA". It matches the Rfam family "Bacterial small subunit ribosomal RNA", at positions 523 to 796 of the family's 1533-position model. The record is from RNAcentral.